UUCCAUCAAAGGUGGAUCUGAACAGAUAAGACUCCUGACUCCCAAAGAAGAUAACAUGACAACUGAACUGCUGGCCCGAGCCCUUUCCUAGAGAUAGGUACAGCAGUAUACCCGUGUGCAGUCAACUGCAGGAUCAAAGCACCACUGGGCAUAAUUCCUAAUUGCUGUGAGUGAGUCUCCUUGACUUCAUUGUGACUAUUUGCUUAACUAAAGGGAGUAGAGAUGAAGCUCCUUGGCCCAGAAAAGUUUGAAUGCCGCUGAAUGCACAGACCAGUUGGUACGGCACGCCAGGACAACUGGAUCCCCUGGAUGGAAGCAGGAUCUUGAAGCAGGGCCAGACGAACUUCUUUCAGACUCAUGGCCCCUACACAAUGAUGAACAUCAAGCAAUCUUUGAUUUAUUUAUUGGUGGAGCCCAAGGUCCAGUGUGCUUCAGCAGCUGCUCUGGGAAUUACAAGUUAUGGACUACAAACUGCAGCG
Molecule: long non-coding RNA, 479 nt
Organism: Mauremys reevesii (Reeves's turtle)
Lineage: Eukaryota; Metazoa; Chordata; Testudines; Geoemydidae
Exons: 5
Source: RefSeq, a predicted model, not a curated record